UCAACCAUGGCCAGCAAAUUGAGACUGAAAAUGGACCUGAUUAGCCAUCUCCUUGUGUCUGUUGUUCUUAGGACUCUGCAAUUUCUCCUGGAAGAACUGUAGUUUAUUUUCCUGUUUGUGGAAUCUGGGCCUUAUGAUUUGUUCUGACCAGUGGGAUGUGGCAGGCCUGUAAUCUCAGCAAUUGGGAGGCUGAGGCAGGAGAAGUGAUGAGGAGUCACUUCUAAGUCCAGAUGUCUAGAAGCCCUUCUUGCAUCCUACUUUUUGGAACUCUCUCUCCACUGCACACCCUGCUAGAGGACGGAAGACCAUGUCAUGAAAGUGCAUUUGUCCCUGCUAAAGCUAUGGUAGGCCAGUUUAUACCAAUGGACUGCUAUAGUUUGUGAGUGAUGAGCUUACAGCUGCCUGCUCAACCUACCACUGAGUGUGGAUACCUGGGUUCCUUUCCCACACGGGGAAAUGAUCUGGACCCAACGCGCUGUCUUCUACCAUGAAAAUAAUUUGUCCUGAUGCCUUUACUUCCCAUCUGCAGGAAUCAUACCACCCACUGUCCACUGUCAUGGAAACAGAAGGUGGAAAAGAAGUUUCUUCAGCCUGGAUCCCUCAGAGACACAGAUAAGCAGAAUUUUCAAGCUGGCAGGCCAUGGA
Chinchilla lanigera (long-tailed chinchilla) is the source of this 645-nucleotide long non-coding RNA. RefSeq lists it as uncharacterized. The transcript has 3 exons. The record is from RefSeq and is a predicted model, not a curated record. Lineage: Eukaryota; Metazoa; Chordata; Mammalia; Rodentia; Chinchillidae.